AUUGAACGCUGGCGGCAUGCCUUACACAUGCAAGUCGAACGGCAGCGGACCUUCGGGUGCCGGCGAGUGGCGAACGGGUGAGUAAUAUAUCGGAACGUACCUUUCAGUGGGGGAGUAACGUAGCGAAAGUUACGCUAAUACCGCAUAUUCUGUGAGCAGGAAAGCAGGGGAGUCGCAAGACCUUGCGCUGAUUGAGCGGCCGAUAUCAGAUUAGCUAGUUGGUGAGGUAAAGGCUCACCAAGGCGACGAUCUGUAGCGGGUCUGAGAGGAUGAUCCGCCACACUGGAACUGAGACACGGUCCAGACUCCUACGGGAGGCAGCAGUGGGGAAUUUUGGACAAUGGGCGCAAGCCUGAUCCAGCCAUGCCGCGUGAGUGAAGAAGGCC
This 386-nucleotide ribosomal RNA is filed under the name uncultured bacterium. RNAcentral describes it as "bacterial SSU rRNA". It matches the Rfam family "Bacterial small subunit ribosomal RNA", at positions 30 to 416 of the family's 1533-position model. The record is from RNAcentral.